GCAAAUACUUCACAACUUUAAAGCUAUUCAGGUAUUUUUUUUUAUUAGUGUCCCUUUUACACAAGUCUUGACACUGACUCUUACACACAAUCACCAAUGCGGUGGCCCGAGCCAGGAGAUGGCAAGAAAGGGCAUGUUCAGAUUUGUUGACGCAGGUAGUGUACGUGUCCUCGGACCGAAACGAGGACGAAAUGAACGCCUUCCUGAACAGCACCCACGAAAACUGGCCUGCGCUUCCCUACGGUGACAACCUGCAGUUCGCUCUCAAGGCCCGGUACAAGAUCGCCGCCAUACCAACGCUGGUGGUACUCAGGGCCGACGGCAGCCUGGUGUGCGCCAACGGCAGGUCCCAAAUCGUGGCCAAGUCCCACCUGGCGUUCGCGGACUGGCUCUCCUCCUCCUGAAGAAAGGGCCAACACAUAUAUGCGCCACGGAAUGGCCAACAUUGCGGCGUCCAAUUUUUACGGCUGUGACGAGACGACAGACCACCCUGCGUGUCACUGUCCAUCCUUCGACGCUCAACGAUCAAAGCUAGACUCCGCCGUUUUGAUGACAGACCGCUCUAGG
Long non-coding RNA from Dermacentor andersoni, 567 nucleotides. RefSeq lists it as uncharacterized. NCBI's taxonomy places the organism in Eukaryota, Metazoa, Arthropoda, Arachnida, Ixodida, Ixodidae. The record is from RefSeq and is a predicted model, not a curated record.